Molecule: ribosomal RNA, 253 nt
Filed under: uncultured bacterium
Lineage: Bacteria
Description: partial 16S ribosomal RNA
Rfam family: Bacterial small subunit ribosomal RNA
Source: RNAcentral
UACGGAGGGUGCAAGCGUUAUCCGGAUUUAUUGGGUUUAAAGGGUCCGUAGGCGGACUCAUAAGUCAGUGGUGAAAUCCUGCAGCUCAACUGUAGAACUGCCAUUGAUACUGUGAGUCUUGAAUUUGGUUGAAGUGGGCGGAAUAUGACAUGUAGCGGUGAAAUGCUUAGAUAUGUCAUAGAACACCGAUUGCGAAGGCAGCUAACUAAGCCUGGAUUGACGCUGAGGGACGAAAGCGUGGGUAGCGAACAGG